Molecule: ribosomal RNA, 766 nt
Filed under: Talaromyces qii
Lineage: Eukaryota; Fungi; Ascomycota; Eurotiomycetes; Eurotiales; Trichocomaceae
Description: LSU rRNA
Rfam family: Eukaryotic large subunit ribosomal RNA
Source: RNAcentral
GAGUUGUAAUUUGCAGAGGAUGCUUCGGGUGCGGUCCCCGUCUAAGUGCCCUGGAAAGGGCCGUCAUAGAGGGUGAUAAUCCCGUCUGGGAUGGGCGGCCGCGCCCGUGUGAAGCUCCUUCGACGAGUCGAGUUGUUUGGGAAUGCAGCUCUAAGCGGGUGGUAGAUUCCAUCUAAAGCUAAAUAUUGGCCGGAGACCGAUAGCGCACAAGUAGAGUGAUCGAAAGAUGAAAAGCACUUUGAAAAGAGAGUUAAACAGCACGUGAAAUUGUUGAAAGGGAAGCGUUGUCCACCAGACUCGCCCGGGGGGGCUCAGCCGGCACGUGUGCCGGUGUACUCCUCUCCGGGCGGGCCAGCAUCGGUUUGGGCGGCUGGUGAAAGGCCCCGGGAAUGUAACACCCUCCGGGGUGCCUUAUAGCCCGGGGUGCCAUGCAGCCAGCCUGGACCGAGGCCCGCGCUUCGGCGAGGAUGCUGGCGUAAUGGUGGUCAACGGCCCGUCUUGAAACACGGACCAAGGAGUCUAACAUCUAUGCGAGUGUUCGGGUGUCAAACCCGUCCGCGCAGUGAAAGCGAACGGAGGUGGGAGCCCCUCGGGGCGCACCAUCGACCGAUCCUGAUGUCUUCGGAUGGAUUUGAGUAAGAGCAUAGCUGUUGGGACCCGAAAGAUGGUGAACUAUGCCUGAAUAGGGCGAAGCCAGAGGAAACUCUGGUGGAGGCUCGCAGCGGUUACUGACGUGCAAAUCGAUUCGUCAAAUUUGGGUAUAGGG